Molecule: long non-coding RNA, 202 nt
Filed under: Elaeis guineensis (African oil palm)
Lineage: Eukaryota; Viridiplantae; Streptophyta; Magnoliopsida; Arecales; Arecaceae
Description: long non-coding RNA (EGUI_LNC058750)
Source: RNAcentral
GCGUUAAGAAGAGGAGUCCUUCUCUUCCACUCCUCUUAAAUUUCUUAGUAUUUUCUCCAAACAUUUCUUCAUUCCUUAUGUCAUGUGAUGACUCUUGGAUUUAUGGGUGCAGAAGAGAAGGAAGAGUCCUUCUCUGGUAAGAAGUUUGAACACCAAAAUUUAUUUGGAAUGCCACAUAUUUUUAUGUGAUGAAAUGGAAGAG